GACGAACGCUGGCGGCGUGCCUAAUACAUGCAAGUAGAACGCUGAAGGAGGAGCUUGCUUCUCUGGAUGAGUUGCGAACGGGCGAGUAACGCGUAGGUAACCUGCCUGGUAGCGGGGGAUAACUAUUGGAGACGAUAGCUAAUACCGCAUAAUAGUAGAUGUUGCAUGACAUUUACUUAAAAGGUGCAAUUUCAUCACUACCAGAUGGACCUGCGUUGUAUUAGCUAGUUGGUGGGGUAACGGCUCACCAAGGCGACGAUACAUAGCCGACCUGAGAGGGGUGUCGGCCAAACUGGGACUGAGACACGGCCCAGACUCCUACGGGAGGCAGCAGUAGGGAAUCUUCGGCAAUGGACGAAAGUCUGACCGAGAAACGCCGCGGGAGUGAAGAAGGGUUUCGGAUCGUAAAGCUCGGUUGUAAGAGAAGAACGAGUGUGAGAGUGGAAAGUUCACACUGUGACGGUAUCUUACCAGAAAGGGACGGCUAACUACGUG
This 495-nucleotide ribosomal RNA is filed under the name uncultured bacterium. RNAcentral's name for it is "partial 16S ribosomal RNA". It matches the Rfam family "Bacterial small subunit ribosomal RNA", at positions 28 to 507 of the family's 1533-position model. The record is from RNAcentral.